GGGCAUUUGGUCGAGUGGUUUAUGGCACCCGUCUUGAAAACGGGAACUCCAAAAGAGUCGUGAGUUCAAAUCUCACAGUGCCCG
Molecule: non-coding RNA, 84 nt
Organism: Athelia sp. TMB
Lineage: Eukaryota; Fungi; Basidiomycota; Agaricomycetes; Atheliales; Atheliaceae
Source: the annotation of a GenBank genome assembly